This 1086-nucleotide ribosomal RNA is filed under the name uncultured bacterium. RNAcentral describes it as "bacterial SSU rRNA". The stretch from base 2 to 959 matches the Rfam family "Bacterial small subunit ribosomal RNA". The record is from RNAcentral.
GAGAGUUUGAUCAUGGCUCAGGACGAACGCUGGCGGCGUGCCUAAUACAUGCAAGUAGAACGCUGAAGGAGGAGCUUGCUCUUCUGGAUGAGUUGCGAACGGGUGAGUAACGCGUAGGUAACCUGCCUGGUAGCGGGGGAUAACUAUUGGAAACGAUAGCUAAUACCGCAUAAUAGUAGAUGUUGCAUGACAUUUGCUUAAAAGGUGCAAUUGCAUCACUACCAGAUGGACCUGCGUUGUAUUAGCUAGUUGGUGGGGUAACGGCUCACCAAGGCGACGAUACAUAGCCGACCUGAGAGGGUGAUCGGCCACACUGGGACUGAGACACGGCCCAGACUCCUACGGGAGGCAGCAGUAGGGAAUCUUCGGCAAUGGACGAAAGUCUGACCGAGCAACGCCGCGUGAGUGAAGAAGGUUUUCGGAUCGUAAAGCUCUGUUGUAAGAGAAGAACGAGUGUGAGAGUGGAAAGUUCACACUGUGACGGUAUCUUACCAGAAAGGGACGGCUAACUACGUGCCAGCAGCCGCGGUAAUACGUAGGUCCCGAGCGUUGUCCGGAUUUAUUGGGCGUAAAGCGAGCGCAGGCGGUUAGAUAAGUCUGAAGUUAAAGGCUGUGGCUUAACCAUAGUACGCUUUGGAAACUGUUUAACUUGAGUGCAAGAAGGGAGAGUGGAAUUCCAUGUGUAGCGGUGAAAUGCGUAGAUAUAUGGAGGAACACCGGUGGCGAAAGCGGCUCUCUGGCUUGUAACUGACACUGAAGCUCGAAAGCGUGGGGAGCAAACAGAUUAGAUACCCUGGUAGUCCCCGCCGUAACGAUGAGUGCUAGUGUUAGACCCUUUCAGGUUAGUGCCGUAGCUACGCAUAAGCACUCCGCUGGGGAGUACGACGCAAGUGAAACUCAAAGAUUGACGGCCGCACAGCGGUGGACAUGUGUUAUCGAGCACCGAGACUACAGCCUGAAUCUUGACGCUAGAUAGCUCUCGGCAGUACGUGGCAUGUGCUCAGUGUCUGGAUUGUAGUCGAAGGCACAAUGCAUGCAUUAUGGCACUACGAUCGUAACUGAUGGUAUCCAUCUGCCUAACUGGGU